CAUCCGGAUAGAUCGAAGAGUCACAAUCACAACACUCAGAACCUACAUGAAUAUGGUUACUGUAUAAUUCAUCCUUUUGACCCCUGUGUUUAGGACGACUCAGGGUUAAACUGUCAACCCUGAUCAGAUCAUCCGAAUCAUGCUCAACUCAAACAGUCCUGUGACUCCUCACAAGGACUACCCUGGCCAAGAUUUUACUAAAUUGAAACACGACUGUACACAGCUCCUAAACUGGAGUGGUCAAUCCCAUCUUGACACACGCACCGACAAGUCAAGUACUUGACUACACCCAGC
RNAcentral lists this long non-coding RNA (294 nucleotides) under Elaeis guineensis (African oil palm). RNAcentral's name for it is "long non-coding RNA (EGUI_LNC082598)". The record is from RNAcentral. Lineage: Eukaryota; Viridiplantae; Streptophyta; Magnoliopsida; Arecales; Arecaceae.